RNAcentral lists this ribosomal RNA (483 nucleotides) under uncultured bacterium. RNAcentral describes it as "partial 16S ribosomal RNA". It matches the Rfam family "Bacterial small subunit ribosomal RNA", at positions 30 to 507 of the family's 1533-position model. The record is from RNAcentral.
UUGAACGCUGGCGGCAGGCCUAACACAUGCAAGUCGAGCGGAUGAAGGGAGCUUGCUCCUGGAUUCAGCGGCGGACGGGUGAGUAAUGCCUAGGAAUCUGCCUGGUAGUGGGGGAUAACGUCCGGAAACGGGCGCUAAUACCGCAUACGUCCUGAGGGAGAAAGUGGGGGAUCUUCGGACCUCACGCUAUCAGAUGAGCCUAGGUCGGAUUAGCUAGUUGGUGGGGUAAAGGCCUACCAAGGCGACGAUCCGUAACUGGUCUGAGAGGAUGAUCAGUCACACUGGAACUGAGACACGGUCCAGACUCCUACGGGAGGCAGCAGUGGGGAAUAUUGGACAAUGGGCGAAAGCCUGAUCCAGCCAUGCCGCGUGUGUGAAGAAGGUCUUCGGAUUGUAAAGCACUUUAAGUUGGGAGGAAGGGCAGUAAGUUAAUACCUUGCGGUUUUGACGUUACCAACAGAAUAAGCACCGGCUAACUUCGUG